AUUCAACCCAGACUGAUCAUUGUUUAUCUGAUCAUUGUUUACCUAGCUGCUAGAUAACCAGACAUGUGAAGUCCAAAGAGUUAUGUUUUCAAGUACUAGCCUUGAUCAAAGGAAGCAUUGACUGUUUCAUGAUGUGCACUGGGGAAAGAUUGCUGUCUUAAUAAAAAUUCUUACAGUGCUCGUAUGCUAAUAAUAUGCUAAUAAAAAAAUAAAGUGUGAUUUUUCACUUACACUAAUGUUCUAUGAGUGGUAUAUCUGUAUACCACUGAUACAGAUAUACAGAUAAACCACUAUACUGAUAAGUCUUAUCAGUAUAUUUAGGACUGAUGUCAAAAAUAUUAUCAACUUUUAGAAGAACACAUAGUGGAAAAUUUAGGGAUGUUGUCAAGGCUGAACAGAGUGGCUCACAUGUAUUGAGUUCAAUGAGUGGUGUCCACCCUGUGUGUGAACAAAGACUACUCUGGGGAUAGCUAAAAAAAUCAAUAGGGUGUUACUAUCAUUCAGCUACUCAGUUACAAAGGCUCUUGCAGAGGUGAGGCUGAAAAACAACAAAGAUACCCAAAAAGAGUUCUAGGCCAUGCAAUCCCCAGUCAACCCUAAUUCACUCACAUCAAUACCAAGCACAUGUAAAAGGGCCAGGCCACUUAAGUCUUUAAGCCAGUUUCGGAUGUCCUCAAAACAACUAGACAUUUUACCCAUGGGUCAUAGACUGGCAUCUAGGCAAUUGGAGUAGGAUUUAUGUUAGGAUAGCAAGCAUAAAUAGAAAUGUCCCAGGCAAACUGAUAUGUAUGGUUACCCCUUAUACAUUAAUUUAAAGGAUUAGACUUUAUUUUUUAAAAAAGGUUUUAAGCAUAGUGGUGAAAUAAUGUGAUUUCCAGUUUUAGAAGCUCACUUUGACUGCCAUAUGGAGGAUGGAUUUGAAGCCAGGGAACCAGAAUGCAGGAAAAGCACUGAGGAGACUAUUACAGUCCAGGUCACUUUGGCCUCUACAGCCAUGCCAUUCCAUGACUGCUAACACACCGCAGUUUCUCUUCUAUAUGUUGAAGAAUUUGCUGAUGGGAAGGAUGAAACCCUGCUCUUCUGAGAAAUGAGAUAUAUAUCAGGAAAAUUGGCUUGAGUCAUUAUAUGAAAGGC
RNAcentral lists this long non-coding RNA (1134 nucleotides) under Papio anubis (olive baboon). RNAcentral describes it as "lncRNA (ENSPANG00000048554.1)". Lineage: Eukaryota; Metazoa; Chordata; Mammalia; Primates; Cercopithecidae. The record is from RNAcentral.